UUUCAAUAAGCAUCUGUGCUGUCGUCGUCUUCUUCUUCUUCUUCUCCUCUCUGGCUUAGCCUAAGGAUUCUAGUAAGUAUUUCAAACUCCUAAAGUCUUAGUUUUAUCUAGAAAUCAAUGUUGUAUCGCAAUAGAUUGUGCCCUAGAAAGCUUUGUACACUUACCAGAAACCUCAGCUCUAGGAUUCCAUUGCAUGCUUUCAAUGUACAAAACUCUAAUUGCUCGACAAAUUUAGUAAUUGACACUU
This 247-nucleotide unclassified non-coding RNA is filed under the name Hevea brasiliensis (rubber tree). The record is from RNAcentral. Lineage: Eukaryota; Viridiplantae; Streptophyta; Magnoliopsida; Malpighiales; Euphorbiaceae.